Molecule: ribosomal RNA, 253 nt
Filed under: uncultured bacterium
Lineage: Bacteria
Description: partial 16S ribosomal RNA
Rfam family: Bacterial small subunit ribosomal RNA
Source: RNAcentral
UACGUAGGGCGCGAGCGUUGUCCGGAAUUAUUGGGCGUAAAGAGCUCGUAGGCGGCCUGUCGCGUCCGCUGUGAAAUCCCGGGGCUCAACCUCGGAACUGCAUCCGAUACUGGCAUGCUAGAGAAUCGGAGAGGAGUCUAGAAUUCACGGUGUAGCAGUGAAAUGCGUAGAUAUCGUGAGGAAUACCAAGUGCGAAGGCAGGACUCUGGACAUUUUCUGACGCUGAGACACGAAGGCCAGGGGAGCAAACGGG